RNAcentral lists this ribosomal RNA (253 nucleotides) under uncultured bacterium. RNAcentral describes it as "partial 16S ribosomal RNA". It matches the Rfam family "Bacterial small subunit ribosomal RNA", at positions 524 to 776 of the family's 1533-position model. The record is from RNAcentral.
UACGUAGGGCGCAAGCGUUGUCCGGAAUUAUUGGGCGUAAAGAGCUCGUAGGUGGCGUGUCGCGUCUGCCGUGAAAGCCCAUGGCUUAACUGUGGGUCUGCGGUGGAUACGGGCAGGCUGGAGGCUGGUAGGGGCAAGCGGAAUUCCUGGUGUAGAGGUGAAAUUCGUAGAUAUCGGGAGGAACACCAGUGGCGAAGGCGGCGACCUGGGCCAAUAUUGACGCUGAGGUGCGAAAGCGUGGGGAGCAAACAGG